Molecule: long non-coding RNA, 2019 nt
Filed under: Daphnia pulicaria
Lineage: Eukaryota; Metazoa; Arthropoda; Branchiopoda; Diplostraca; Daphniidae
Description: uncharacterized LOC124338403
Source: RNAcentral
CUAGUCAGUUUCAUUCCAUUCAUUAAGAGAGAAAAAAUCUUACGAAGUUGUAAGAAGUGGGUUUAUCAGUGACGUCAGUUCUCCUUGUAAUAAUUCAGUGGCUGUUCCGCUUUUGUGGUGGGAAAAGGGACUGUAAGGGGUUUUCCGUUUUUAGAUACAUGACGCAUUCGCCUUAAGGAAAACAACUUUCACUAAGAACCAGUUUGGCGGGGAAUCCUAUUCCCCCUACUGCCAUUUCCCUUAAAAUCGCCAAAUGCUAAACAUUUCAAGGAAGCUCCGAAACAAGGGAAAUCUUCCGAACAUGGCAAUACAACAAACAACAGUGCGCUUUCAAGUCGUCAAUGGAUACGCAGAUUUGAAUUUUUAUUAGGUCAAUGACGUUUCGCCAUCAUUAUGACGUCAUUGUGAGUUGUGAACAAAAGUGAUGGACUCAACUGACCGCAAUUUUUGCCAAUACGCCGCCUAGAUGCUGCACUGCUGCAAAAGAGUGUGGAAGACAUUAUCAUUUCAUAUUCUUUAUUAGCAAGGCGACACCACUGAUUUUUCAGAUAUCUCAGUAGAUGACCAGUUCUCAACAGCAGUCUCAUGAUUAGGGUAUACGUUGGAGAUAUAAAUGUUGACAUUAGUCAUGACUCGCUUAUUAUUAGACAGCAUCGUCGCGUAGCAAGCUAUCCAAUCUGAAAAUUAAAAUCGACACAUACGGCCCUAUCGGUAUUUCGUUAAUUCGUUUCUCCUGGUUUUACAAAUGAAAAUUCUAAAUCUAGAGAACAUAUAGGCCUCCUUCCUCCUGUGUUGAACGUUUGCCUUUGAAUAAUUUUGCGCCGAUUCCUCCUUUUUUUUAAAUCUUUUGUUCAAAUUUCUCGUCGCAAUCGGUCGAUUCAGACGAUACGAAAUUGUUAGUUGAAAUGCGCUGAAUUGUUUUUUCUAUUCCAGUUCACUGAUGCUGUGCUGGAUGCGUAAAUGGCCGUGUCGACGGGCAGAAUAACCGCCUACCUGUAAUCAUCAAUUUGUUGCGGCUAACCGGAGAAUGGGAAGAAGAGGGAGAAAGAGAAGAAACCAAAUUCACUGAAAAUGGACAUCUAAUCAAACUGGUGUUAGAUAAUACAUUUUCGAUAGUUAACUGUAUCGAACGUUUUGCCUUCUAGAAGAUGAAGACAAUUUCAAAACAGACACUGACCGUGUCCGCCGCAACGGCAGCGAAUCGUUGGCGAUUGUCGAGUCCCAUUCGUUCACUUCGGGGCGUGGAACAGCGAUUGAGGUUUUUUGGCGAAAGUAUUUGUAUCAGGUGAUUUAUGUGCAGCUCAACAAUAGGGGUGACGUUGGCUCAAGCAGCAACACUCCCAGCUCUCAAGAGCCAGGAGCGCCGGAUAGCGGAGGCUCGUUAUCGUCUCUGGCUCUCGACCGUUGUGGAAAGUGUCACCAGUUUCUCUUUUCCCGCACGGAAUCGAUUCUACUGAUUGGGUUGACUACUACGCAACAACGACCAACAACAUCAGUAGCCGGCAGUAACGUUAGAAAACUUCCAGGAACUCCACCCAGACCUGCUGAACCUUUGGCUGUUUCCGAUUGGUAGACCAUGCAAUCUCCAGCCACUUUGGAGAUUUUUCUCGCGUGUCGGACAUGUCAUGGGAGAAGGAACUGCUUUCUCCGAGGCACCUGGUGGAGAAAUUUCGUACUACCUCAUGUAAACUAAUUUCCUCUCUCGUCUGCUAUCUUCAAGCGUGGCCGUGGCUUUCGAGUUUCAACAUGUAGGCACGAUAACUCGUUCGUGUUCUUUUGUGGAUAUUAAAAAUGGCAAGAAUCUUUUUUUUAUUACUGCAUUUAAAAUUGUAACAUAGUGACGCUGUAUUUGUGUAUUUCUCUAAAGUUUCCACAUGUAAGACCAGAGUAGAUUUUUCAUCAAUGGGGGAGGGGGGUCGAGGGAUCCCUUUGCUUGUCAAUUCCGACAAUUCGGCAAUUCUUUCGAUAUUGUUUUUGGUUUUAUUAAAAUUUAUUUUCAAAAGAGUAAAUUGUGUAGAA